Molecule: ribosomal RNA, 1539 nt
Filed under: uncultured bacterium
Lineage: Bacteria
Description: bacterial SSU rRNA
Rfam family: Bacterial small subunit ribosomal RNA
Source: RNAcentral
GAGUUUGAUCCUGGCUCAGGACGAACGCUGGCGGCGUGCUUAACACAUGCAAGUGGAGCGACGAACCGGGCUUCGGCCCGGGGCAAAGCCGCGAACGGGUGAGUAACACGUGGGUAAUCUGCCCCGAUGACUGGGACAACCCGGGGAAACCCGGGCUAAUACCAGAUGUGGUCCAUUCACAUAAGUGGUUGGACUAAAGGUAGCUUCGGCCUCCGCAUCGGGAUGAGCCCGCGGCGCAUUAGCUUGUUGGUGGGGUAAAGGCCUACCAAGGCGACGAUGCGUAGCUGGUCUGAGAGGACGAUCAGCCACACUGGGACUGAGACACGGCCCAGACUCCUACGGGAGGCAGCAGUGGGGAAUCUUGCGCAAUGCGCGAAAGCGUGACGCAGCAACGCCGCGUGGGGGAAGAAGGCCUUCGGGUUGUAAACCCCUUUCAGGAGGGACGAAGCCUGUCUGGUGAAUAGCCAGUUCAGGUGACGGUACCUCCACAAGAAGCCCCGGCUAACUACGUGCCAGCAGCCGCGGUAAUACGUAGGGGGCAAGCGUUGUCCGGAAUCAUUGGGCGUAAAGAGCGCGUAGGCGGCCCAGUAAGUCCGCUCUGAAAGUCAGGGGCUCAACCCCUGAAUGCGGGUGGAUACUGCUGGGCUAGAGUCCGGAAGAGGUGAGUGGAAUUCCUGGUGUAGCGGUGAAAUGCGCAGAUAUCAGGAGGAACACCGAUGGCGAAGGCAGCUCACUGGGACGGUACUGACGCUGAGUCGCGAAAGCGUGGGGAGCAAACAGGAUUAGAUACCCAGUAGUCCACGCCGUAAACGAUGGACACUAGGUGUGGGAGGUGUCGACUCCUCCCGUGCCGAAGCUAACGCAUUAAGUGUCCCGUCUGGGGAGUACGGCCGCAAGGCUAAUCUCAAAGGAAUUGACGGGGGUCCGCACAAGCAGCGGAGCAUGUGUUCUAAUUCGACGCAACGCGAAGAUCCUUACAUGGGCUUGACAUGACCGUGACCGCCGUGGAAACACGGCUUCCCUUCGGGGCAGGGCCACAGGUGGUGCAUGGCUGUCGUCAGCUCGUGUCCUGAGAUGUUUGGUUAAGUCCCACAACGAGCGCAACCCCUAUGGCAUUUUUCCAGCAUUUAGUUGGGGUGUCAUGCGAGUUUGCCGGUGACAAACCGGAGGAAGGUGGGGAUGACGUCAAGUCUUCAUGCCCUGUAUCUGCAGCAGUACACACGAUCUACAUUGGCGCAUACAAAGGGCAGCGAUCCCGUGAGGUGGAGCGAAUCCCAAAAAAUGUAUUUCGGUUCGGAUAGGAGGCGGAAACUAGCCUGAAGGAAGGCGGAGUUCAUACUAAUACGGAAUCAGCAACGUUGGGGUGAAUACGUUGCCGGGCCUUGUACACACCAGUCAUCACAGCACGAAAGCGGGCAACACUCGAAGCCGGUGGGCUAACCCUUACGGGAGGCAGCCGUUGAAGGUGGGGCUCGUGAUUGGGGAGAAGUCGUAACAAGGUAGCCGUACCGGAAGGUGCGGCUGGAUCACCUCCUUUCU